GGGUACCCUUGAGGUGGGGAAAUGGAUCAUACUCAUUGUCUGUUCCCAACUUGUGAUGGUCGCUCCACACAAGUAGUGCGCUCCGGAGUCAGUCACGAGGGAUGGCCUAUUUGGGGUCCCGUGGGAUAGGGAUGGCCUACUUGGGGUCCCGAGGGAUGGCCUAUUUGGGGUCCCGCAGACGGUCUCGGAUUGGUAGUAUCGAGAUGGCUAUA
RNAcentral lists this long non-coding RNA (212 nucleotides) under Ananas comosus (pineapple). RNAcentral describes it as "long non-coding RNA (ACOM_LNC003740)". Lineage: Eukaryota; Viridiplantae; Streptophyta; Magnoliopsida; Poales; Bromeliaceae. The record is from RNAcentral.